UACGAAGGGGGCGAGCGUUGUUCGGAAUUACGGGGCGUAAAGGGCGCGUAGGCGGCGACCCAAGUCAGAUGUGAAAGUCCUGGGCUUAACCUGGGGACUGCAUUUGAUACUGGGUUGCUUGAAUUCGGGAGAGGAUAGCGGAAUUCCCAGUGUAGAGGUGAAAUUCGUAGAUAUUGGGAAGAACACCGGUGGCGAAGGCGGCUAUCUGGACCGACAUUGACGCUGAGGCGCGAAAGCGUGGGGAGCAAACAGG
RNAcentral lists this ribosomal RNA (253 nucleotides) under uncultured bacterium. RNAcentral's name for it is "partial 16S ribosomal RNA". It matches the Rfam family "Bacterial small subunit ribosomal RNA", at positions 524 to 776 of the family's 1533-position model. The record is from RNAcentral.